CGGGCGGGCGGGGGCCGCUGGCAGCUCAAGCCGGGCGUCGGCUGCGGCCUGCGUGGGCCCGGCCCGGCGUGACAAGGCCGCGGGGGCGACGGGGCCCGGCCCGGCGAGUCCUUGGGCAGGACCUUGGCCGGGGCGGCGGGCGGCUCGCAGGAGACGGGCGGGAGCUGGGGGUGCCGCCGCCCCCCUCCUGGCGCCCCUCGGACGCCGCGCCCGCCGUGGGGGGGGGUCCCCCGACCGCGCCGGGGGGGCUUGGCGGGGUCUCGGACCCCAACACCUUGGUGGGGGCGAGUAGGGGGCUUUGCCUCGCCAGCCGCGGGGCCAGGGCUGCCCCCUCAGCGCCGGGGGGGGGCUCGGCUUUGUUCAGAGGCAGCCGCCUCCCCCCCCCCCCCGCAGCACCCAAGGGUGUUAAGCCGCUUGCAAACGCCCGUAGCCUGGGGGGCGGGGGCGGGUUUGACAUGGCAUCGCAGCCCCGUUGGCCAGGGCAGAGCCGAGGGGCCUUCCCCAGCUCCUGGCACUGGGCCUGGAUCGCAGGUUCCCAGGAGCCCUUCUCUUGAAUGGAAGGAGAUGGGGAAAGCGGAGCCCUGCCUUUACCCAGGCUGGCAGCGAGGCCGCUCCGAGGAGGCUGGGCAAGACCGGGAACCUCGCUGGAAAAGGGGUUUCUGUACAUUUGGUGCUGCAGCCUGAGCCAGGGCACUUGACGGAUCAUUCUCCCCCCCGCCCCCCACAACAAGCAGCGGUGUCCCCACCUGUCCUUUCCCCUCUUUCUAACCUCAUAAAACAGAUUGAGGGUGGGGUUUUUAAAUGACCCGGAAGGAGUUAGGCACCAAAUGCCCAUUUCGAUGGGAUUUGCGCAUCAAACUCCUUAAGCCUGGUCUAUGCUAGGAAAUUAGCUUGCUAUAACUACAUCUCUUGGGGGCUCUGUCAGCCUAGCUACUGUCUGUUGGGGAGGUGGAGUACCCCACCCUGACACGCGAACCCCUCCUGUAGGCGUAGAUAGCAUCUUCACUGCAGCACUAGCACGGCACAGCUGCGCACUGGUUUAUGUGUAGACAGACCCGUCUUUUCCUUUGAAAAUCUGAGCCCUGUAACUUUCCCAAAUGAGUGUGAUGAUCCAUAAUAUUGAUGCUACAGUGUUUUCAAGACUACAAGCCAUUUCAGCCCCCCCACUGAGAUGUCCUAUUAUUGUUUAAAUGUCACUUGUUUCUUUCGUACUUUUUUUAAUUGCUUGAGUGGUGUGUGAAAAGUAAGAGAAUUCUUCUGAGAUGGUGUAUAUUCAUAAACUCUGGAAGGCCUUGUGCCAGAAUCAUAGACGGCACAGCUACGAUAGAAAACACCGAACUGUAAAAGAUGGAAAAUGCAAUUACUAUUUUCAGGUUUUCCCUUCCUUUUGCCUGUGAAAUCAAGGAAGAAAUUAAUACAAUAACUUACAAUACAAUACAAUAAGUAUGUUGGAUAAUUCUUUGUAGAGUAAAAGAGGUUUUAAAGCUGCUAGCAACAAUAUCUUGAGUGUGAUUAGAUGUAGCUUGUAAGUAUUUAUGGAAUGUUUACCCAAACACUAUAAUUGUACGCUUUCCAAAAAUGGUGAAGGCUAAUGAACUCUCAGCAAAGGAGGCCAGGCUAGUGAUAACAUUUGUAAGGAUAAAGUUAAUACCAUUAUUUCUGCACAAUUUUUGUACUUUUCUAAAAUCUGUUGAAUUUCUCCUUUCAAAGAAAUUGCUUCACCAACUUUUUGAUGGUGCAGACAGAUGUGAAACCAUACUUUUGCCAUACCAAUUUAACCUGCCAAUACAUUUAAUCUCCAUACUAUAUCAAUAUUAUUGAUGAUACAUUUUAAAAAAAUUAGAAGCAAGGGAGAAGUCUUAGUUUGAGCCUUUUCUUUUUGUUGUGUCCCAUGGUGUGACUUCUCUUCAGAGAAUUUUCCUAUAUUGCUUUGAUAAGCAUUUUGGACACUUUUUCUAACUAAAAAUUCUAUAAUCUGGUUGCUCAUUUCUUUAUCUUAAAAGAUGUUUAAUGUAUUGAUAUUCUACUUUCUUGGGCUGUAAUAUAGUUCAGCAAGGACCCUGACAUUAUUUAAAGCACUGUUUUCCAAUAUUAAACUUUAUAUAAUAGUACAUUUCCUUCCACUACUGUGUUUUUAGUUUAACCCAAACCCCUUGAUGUAUACAUGUAGACUUAAAGCACAUUUUCCUUAAGUGUUCAUAAGUACAUCUGAGUAGAAUUGACCUUUUCUCCUUGAGACUAUUUUUUUAUGAAGAGAAGUAUAAGAGACAUUAAAAGCUUUUCUAGAAU
This is a long non-coding RNA of Dermochelys coriacea (leatherback sea turtle), 2289 nucleotides long. RefSeq lists it as uncharacterized. NCBI's taxonomy places the organism in Eukaryota, Metazoa, Chordata, Testudines, Dermochelyidae. The record is from RefSeq and is a predicted model, not a curated record. The transcript has 2 exons.